Molecule: ribosomal RNA, 460 nt
Filed under: uncultured Prevotella sp.
Lineage: Bacteria; Pseudomonadati; Bacteroidota; Bacteroidia; Bacteroidales; Prevotellaceae
Description: bacterial SSU rRNA
Rfam family: Bacterial small subunit ribosomal RNA
Source: RNAcentral
CCUACGGGAGGCAGCAGUGAGGAAUAUUGGUCAAUGGGCGAGAGCCUGAACCAGCCAAGUAGCGUGCAGGAUGACGGCCCUAUGGGUUGUAAACUGCUUUUGUAUGGGGAUAAAGUCAGUCACGUGUGAUUGUUUGCAGGUACCAUACGAAUAAGGACCGGCUAAUUCCGUGCCAGCAGCCGCGGUAAUACGGAAGGUCCAGGCGUUAUCCGGAUUUAUUGGGUUUAAAGGGAGCGUAGGCCGGAGAUUAAGUGUGUUGUGAAAUGUAGACGCUCAACGUCUGACUUGCAGCGCAUACUGGUUUCCUUGAGUACGCACAACGUUGGCGGAAUUCGUCGUGUAGCGGUGAAAUGCUUAGAUAUGACGAAGAACUCCGAUUGCGAAGGCAGCUGACGGGAGCGCAACUGACGCUUAAGCUCGAAGGUGCGGGUAUCAAACAGGAUUAGAUACCCUUGUAGUC